UACGUAGGGUGCGAGCGUUAAUCGGAAUUACUGGGCGUAAAGCGUGCGCAGGCGGUUUUGUAAGUCAGAUGUGAAAUCCCCGGGCUUAACCUGGGAACUGCGUUUGAAACUACAAGGCUAGAGUGUAGCAGAGGGGGGUGGAAUUCCCAGUGUAGUGGUGAAAUGCGUAGAUAUCGGGAGGAACACCUGUGGCGAAAGCGGCUCACUGGACCACAACUGACGCUGAGGCACGAAAGCUAGGGGAGCAAACAGG
Molecule: ribosomal RNA, 253 nt
Filed under: uncultured bacterium
Lineage: Bacteria
Description: partial 16S ribosomal RNA
Rfam family: Bacterial small subunit ribosomal RNA
Source: RNAcentral